This 446-nucleotide ribosomal RNA is filed under the name uncultured bacterium. RNAcentral's name for it is "partial 16S ribosomal RNA". It matches the Rfam family "Bacterial small subunit ribosomal RNA", at positions 338 to 795 of the family's 1533-position model. The record is from RNAcentral.
CCUACGGGAGGCAGCAGUCGAGAAUCAUUCACAAUGGGGGAAACCCUGAUGGUGCGACGCCGCGUGGGGGAAUGAAGGUCUUCGGAUUGUAAACCUCUGUCAUGUGGGAGCAAAUUAAAAAGAUAGUACCACAUGAGGAAGAGACGGCUAACUCUGUGCCAGCAACCGCGGUAAUACAGAGGUCUCAAGCGUUGUUCGGAAUCACUGGGCGUAAAGCGUGCGUAGGCUGUUUCGUAAGUCGUGUGUGAAAGGCGCGGGCUCAACCCGCGGACGGCACAUGAUACUGGGAGACUAGAGUAAUGGAGGGGGAGCCGGAAUUCUCGGUGUAGCAGUGAAAUGCGUAGAUAUCGAGAGGAACACUCGUGGCGAAGGCGGGUUCCUGGACAUUAACUGACGCUGAGGCACGAAGGCCAGGGGAGCGAAAGGGAUUAGAUACCCUUGUAGUC